Molecule: ribosomal RNA, 253 nt
Filed under: uncultured bacterium
Lineage: Bacteria
Description: partial 16S ribosomal RNA
Rfam family: Bacterial small subunit ribosomal RNA
Source: RNAcentral
UACGUAGGUGGCGAGCGUUGUCCGGAUUUACUGGGCGUAAAGGGAGCGUAGGCGGACUUUUAAGUGAGAUGUGAAAUACUCGGGCUCAACUUGAGUGCUGCAUUUCAAACUGGAAGUCUAGAGUGCAGGAGAGGAGAAUGGAAUUCCUAGUGUAGCGGUGAAAUGCGUAGAGAUUAGGAAGAACACCAGUGGCGAAGGCGAUUCUCUGGACUGUAACUGACGCUGAGGCUCGAAAGCGUGGGGAGUAAACAGG